Molecule: long non-coding RNA, 559 nt
Organism: Ochotona princeps (American pika)
Lineage: Eukaryota; Metazoa; Chordata; Mammalia; Lagomorpha; Ochotonidae
Exons: 4
Source: RefSeq, a predicted model, not a curated record
UUGUCAUCAGUGAGCAGAACUACUCCCUGUCUGACUGAUUAUAUGUACCCCACAGAUAAUGAUGGUGAUGAGCACAGUGAAGGAGAGAGUAAAACCUCAUCACACGAAUGACCUGGACAGGGAAUUCGAUAUUUUCAUACAAGCUCACAUAAAAGAACUGAGCCAAUUAAAGCAGAAGCCACAGGAAAGGAGAGAUGCCUCUGUCUUAUUCCACCAGCAUCUCAAGGAUCUGCUCACAUGGGACAGCCCUGAGAGCUGCCAGAACCAGGGCCUCCGGGAUCCACUGUCUCAAGGACAUAAUUUGGCAGAGCACCGUGCCUACAAGCUCAGCCAAGUGUCAGUAGUGAGCACCAGGUGAAGAAAGCAAAUGAAGUCCUAUUGUAUUCAUCAGAGUUGUGGUUGUACACUCCCUUUCUACUGAGCCUAAGGGUGAUGCUCAUAAAUGCUCACACACCAGCAACCAGGAGUGUUGAGUCACUGACCACCUGCUAAUGAAAGGAGAGCUGCAAACAAGGAAGUGGAAACCAUCACGCAGAUACCGGGCAUUCCAAUCUAGGAU